Oryza glumipatula is the source of this 197-nucleotide non-coding RNA. NCBI's taxonomy places the organism in Eukaryota, Viridiplantae, Streptophyta, Magnoliopsida, Poales, Poaceae. The record is from Rfam.
AAUAAAUGUAGCCAUGAGUUUUUAUGUCCAACUUUGAUCGUCCGUCUUAUUUCAAUUUUUUAUUAGCAUUUUUAUUGUUAUUAGAUUAUAAAAUAUGAACAGUACUUUCUGCGUGACUUAUAUUUUUUAAUUUUUUUUCAAAAUAAAUUUAAAUAAGAUGGACGAUUAAAGUUGGAUCCGAGUCUUUUACCCCUAUG